This 259-nucleotide long non-coding RNA is filed under the name Homo sapiens (human). RNAcentral describes it as "non-protein coding lnc-TSPAN11-6:1". The record is from RNAcentral. Lineage: Eukaryota; Metazoa; Chordata; Mammalia; Primates; Hominidae.
UCCAUCUAUGUCGAGAAAUUUAAUAAUGAGAACUUCAUCCUAAAGCAUACAGGUCCUGGCAUCUUGUCCAUGGCAAAUGCUGGACCCAUCACAAACAGUUCCCAGUUUUUCAUCUGCACUGCCAAGACUCAGUGGUUGCAUGGCAAGGAUGUGGUCUUUGGCAAGGUGAAAGAAGGCAUGAAUAUUGUGGAGGCCAUGAAGCGCUUUGGGUCCAGUGGCAAGACCAGCAAGAAGAUCACCAUUGCUGACUGUGGAUAAC